AAUAUUGGACAAUGGGGGCAACCCUGAUCCAGCCAUGCCGCGUGUGGGAAGAAGGUCUUCGGUUGGUAAAGCACUUUAGGUUGGGAGGAAGGGUUGUUGGCUAAUAUCCUGCAAUUUCUACGUUACCGACAGAAUAAGAACCGGCUAACUCUUGCCCACACGCCGAGGUAAUACAGGGGGUGCAAGCGUUAAUCGGAAUUACUGGGCGUAAAGCGCGCGUAGGUGAUUCAGUAAGAUGGGUGUGAAAUCCCCGGGCUUAACCUGGGAACUGCUUUCAUAACUGCUGAGCUAGAGUACGGUAGAGGGUAGUGGAAUUUCCUGUGUAGCGGUGAAAUGCGUAGAUAUAGGAAGGAACACCAGUGGCGAAGGCGACUACCUGGACUGAUACUGACACUGAGGUGCGAAAGCGUGGGGAGCAACCA
Molecule: ribosomal RNA, 422 nt
Filed under: uncultured bacterium
Lineage: Bacteria
Description: partial 16S ribosomal RNA
Rfam family: Bacterial small subunit ribosomal RNA
Source: RNAcentral